UCCUCCUCAACAACUUGAAUCUAGGGUUAAGUAUUUCAGUUAAAACCCCAGUUCCCCUUUCCGGUAUGGUAAUCGGUUUUGGGGGAACCUCCAUUAAGCCAUCAAUGAACUCAAUGAGGUCCUGUCCCUCAAGAAAACUCACAAUUUGUGUCCGCCACUGUAAGAAAUUAUCGGCGGACAAAAAAAUUGAAACGAAAUUACCAAUAUUCAAUGAAGUCGGAUAGGGAUA
Molecule: long non-coding RNA, 229 nt
Filed under: Zostera marina
Lineage: Eukaryota; Viridiplantae; Streptophyta; Magnoliopsida; Alismatales; Zosteraceae
Description: long non-coding RNA (ZMAR_LNC001554)
Source: RNAcentral